RNAcentral lists this ribosomal RNA (292 nucleotides) under uncultured bacterium. RNAcentral describes it as "partial 16S ribosomal RNA". It matches the Rfam family "Bacterial small subunit ribosomal RNA", at positions 505 to 796 of the family's 1533-position model. The record is from RNAcentral.
GUGCCAGCCGCCGCGGUAAUACAGAGGGGGCAAGCGUUAUUCGGAAUUAUUGGGCGUAAAGGGCGCGUAGGCGGCCAAGCAAGUCAGGGGUGAAAUCCCUCGGCUCAACCGAGGAACUGCCUCUGAAACUGCAUGGCUUGAGACCGGGAGAGGGUGGUGGAAUUCCCAGUGUAGCGGUGAAAUGCGUAGAUAUUGGGAGGAACACCGGUGGCGAAGGCGGCCACCUGGACCGGUUCUGACGCUGAGGCGCGAAAGUGUGGGGAGCAAACAGGAUUAGAAACCCUCGUAGUCC